GUCAAAUUCAGAAAAGAUCAAACUUGAAAUAUAAGUGAAAGUUGAAAUUUUAAAUCUCAUGUAAAUUAAAAAUUAUACCUUAUAAUCUAAAAAGACACAUUAAACCACAUGACUUGAUAUUUUUGAAGUUACUUAACACUUUUGAAAGUUAAAUACAUACUUUGAAGUUACUUAACACUCUUGAAAUUUUAACGUAGAAGACUUCUACAGAAAUCUUCUAGAGAAGACUUCUCCAGAAGUCUUCUCGGAUUAGUUAGAAACAUUAGUAAAUAUAAAUAUUUGAAAUCUCAUAAUUAUCACCAAAUUAGUUAUGAAUUUUAUCCAGAAGCCCCAAUAUUGUCUAAUACACAUGAAUUAAUAAAAUAAUAUUAAAAAGUCAGUUUACUUGUAGAGAAAAUGAAAGUUUAUUAAACAUUGAUGUACUUCUACGGAAGCCUGCUCCGAGAAGGCUUCUCACGAUAUCUUCUAUUUAGGUCGUUUUUGCAAUUGCAAAUUUACGAAGGAAUCCAUUGUAAAUAUUGGUUUAAUUUUUAAUUUAAAAAAAUCUCGAAAAUGCUAGAGAAGACUUCUCGGAUAAACUAGUUAGUUUUGUAAUUGACUAAAGUUUUUCAGAAACUUGACUUUUACAGAAGACUUCUUGGGAAAUCUUCUCAGAGAAGACUUCUAUAAAAGUCUCUGAAAGUCUUCUCAAUGUCGCAAGAAGUCUACCUGAAAUAGUUUUUCAAUUGACUAUAUUUGACUUUUCAAGAGAAGACUUCUAUAACCAAAGGUUUGACCAACACCCGGAAUAAAAUUUGAGAAGACUUCUAAAGAUGUCUUCUUCCAGAAGACUUCUCAAGAAGUCUUCUCAUAAAUAUUAAAUGUUUCACUAUUAUUUUUCAGUUUUAAACGUAACCCACGCAGACUUCUUUCGACAGUGAGUAGACUUCAGGAAAACUUUGAGACGACUUCUAUAGAAGUUUUUCCCGAGAAUACUUCCUGAGAAGUCUUCUAUAAAAAAUCAAAUUUCUGACAAACUUCGAUCAAUUGCAAAACUAACCUAUUUAUCCGAGAAGUCUUCUCUGGGAUUUUCGUUUUUUUUCUUAAUAAAGGAAAGUUAGAAGACUUCUAGGGAAGUCUUCUUUAUGGAGAACAUAUCUAGGGAAGUCUUCUGAAAGUCUUCCCGAAGUCUUCUGAAUGUCUUCGCGAACAGAUCUGAGAAAAAAAAUGAUUUCAUACUUUGAGCAUGUGAGAUUACUUGCUUUGUUUCUCCAAGCACCCAGAACUUCACUGCAAAAGCUACCAAGUCGUUAAUGACCACGAAUCAUGAGUUUCAAUGUCUCUAUGAACCUUACAAAACUUGGAAUCAAAAUCUUAAUUUUUUUUGGAUGAAUUUGAAGAGAGAGUGAAAGAGAUGUGAUUCGUGUGCAUAUCUAAUGAGAUAUGAAGAGUAAAAAUCGAAACUUUGGUGCAUUAAGAGCAUCAAAUUGGUUGUUCAUGGUGGUUAGUGUAUUGAUGGCAAUGGUAAUAUUGUAAAUACUUUGUAAAGAUAAGGAUGAUAAGGUAAAAGAAUCAUUUUCAAAAAAAAAAGAAAAAAAUAUAAUGACAUUUUCGUGAAUAACUCGAACUUCUAGGGUGAAUAGAAAAAAAAACAUGAGUUAUUUUUGUGUUUGAUUUAAAAUUUUAGGUCAUAUUUGAAAAAAAAAUCUCUUGUUUUUAUCGGAAUAGAUUAGAUAAUAAAAAAUAUAACAAUUUUGUUUUAUUUUUAUUUUUAUGUGUUAUUUUUUAAUGAUUUGGAAACUUAAAGGGAUACAGAGGGAGUAGAAAAAUGAUUGACAUUAUUGAAUCUAUUCAAGACAAACUUUUAUACUUCUACAAGAAAAAAAAGACAAACUUUUAUACUAUUAUUAUUCUCAAAUAUAUGUAUCCUAUGCAAGCAUUAAGAGCACAUUUAUCCCACGUUUCUAGGAUGAGUUUUUAGGAAAAAGUGGGUGUGGGUCCCACUGAAACCAGAGAAAACAUCUCCAGAAAUCGCGAAAUAGGAGACGUCUGUUGAACUGUUCGCGGAUCCCACUGACACGUGGCGAUCCGCAAAUGGUUUGAUUUUAAUUUUUUUUUUAAAUUAAAAAAAAAAAAUAAUAAUAAUAAAAAAACGUAUAUGCGAUAAAGAUGCUCUAAUUUAUGCACAGUCUUCCGCAUUGACGUUUGAAUUAACGUUGAUGGGACGAGGACGACCCCAAUAAGAGCAGCUGCAACGGGAGAUCGUUGAUGGUCCUUAGCGCAUAAUCAUAUGCUUUUGGGAUUAUAAUAAUAUUAUUUGAGCUAAAUAAGCUAAGGAUUAAUCCUUACAUAAGGAUUUAAAGGAUUUGAUCCUUAGAGACGUGGCAGCGGGUGAUUCGUUGGUCGGCUUUCGUCUUUCGUAUACCAAAAAAAAAAUCAUUUUCGAUCGAAGCGGAGAAAAAAAAAGCUCUCGAGGAAAGGCGAAUUGGAACCGUCCCGCUACGAAGGUAAAAUCGAACCCUUCUCUUGCCGAUUUAGGGAUUUAGAUUAGGUUCGAUGUUGUUUUCCUGUCAAUUUAGUGUUCGGUUUUGUGUUUUCAAUCGAUUUGGGGUCAUUUACGUUUGAAAUUAGGUUUUCGAAAAACUAGGUUUUCAAUCGAUUUGGGGUUUAGGUCGUUUGUAGUUAGGGUUUGAAAAGCAUUUUGGUUUCAAACGAUUUGGGGUUUAGGUCGUUUGUAGUUAGAGUUUUGUGUUUUCUGCUCAAGUGUUUUCGUUUGUUCUUAACUCGAUCCCUCUGAUUUGAUAAUCUUUGGUGAUGAUUUGUUGUCCUUUGUUCUUACUCGGGUUUUUAAUUGAUUUGAUAAUCUUCUCGUUUGUUCUUUUAUCCCUUUACUCUGAUUUAGUUUGCUUGGAAACUCAUUGUUGAUAUUGUUUACAUUCGUUUCUUGUUUGCAGAUGGCGAAUCCACAUGAACCUCAUUUCUUAAAGCUUCUGCUUCCUGGUUUCCACAGUGGCAUCGUAAGAACCUCACUCUCUCUAUUUGUUUACAUUCGUUUAUUGAUUAGAUGUAUUUCUUGUUUGAUUAACUUUGCCUUUUCUUGCAGACAAUACCACUUGGCUUCUUCUCAAAGCACAUAGAAAGGAAGACGAACCAGAAAACAUGGAAACUAAGAUCGGACGCUUCAGAUAAAAUUUGGGAAGUGAUACAAGAAGGCAUGAGACUCACCGGAGGUUUGAAAGAUUUCGCCACAGCACAUGACCUUCGAAUCGGUGACACUGUCAUCUUCAAACACGAAGGAGACAUGGUGUUUCAUGUCACUCCUUUUGGUCCUAGCUGUUGUGAGAUUCAAUAUACAGAUCCUGACAUCAAGAAGGAAGAAGCCGACGCGGGUGAUGCUGAUGACAAUGAGAUUACUCACAUUGCUUCUAGCUCACGGAUGAUUUAGGAGUGAUUGUGACCGGAAAUAGAUAUCUCUUUUGCUGUGUUUCCUCUCUAUCAAACUUGUUUCCUCUCUUGCUAGUUAUCUCUUUCGGUUUGUUUCGUCUCUAUCAGAACUUGUUUCCUUUUCUUUCCUUUUGGUACUACUGUAAAAUCUUGUUGCUACAACUCGAAGUUGCCACAAGUGUAAUCUUGUUUCUUAUCUUA
This is a long non-coding RNA of Brassica napus (rape), 3624 nucleotides long. RefSeq lists it as uncharacterized. The record is from RefSeq and is a predicted model, not a curated record. NCBI's taxonomy places the organism in Eukaryota, Viridiplantae, Streptophyta, Magnoliopsida, Brassicales, Brassicaceae. The transcript has 2 exons.